UGGGCUUGUGGCGCAGCUGGUAGCGCACCGGUUCGGCAGACCGGGGGUCGGCGGUUCGAAUCCGCCCAGGUCCACCC
Molecule: transfer RNA, 77 nt
Filed under: Actinoplanes nipponensis
Lineage: Bacteria; Bacillati; Actinomycetota; Actinomycetes; Micromonosporales; Micromonosporaceae
Description: tRNA-Ala
Rfam family: tRNA
About the family: Transfer RNA (tRNA) molecules are approximately 80 nucleotides in length. Their secondary structure includes four short double-helical elements and three loops (D, anti-codon, and T loops).
Source: RNAcentral